CAAGACUAGUAUGUUAAAAAUUCAUCUGAAAUACUUUUACAAACAUGUUCAGUGCAGUGACACUGCUGGACAGGUUUACGGGGUUGUGUCAUAGACAAAUAUUCAUGUUAACAUAAUCAUGCAGACACCUUGAGGUGUGGGGAAAUACAUUCCAAUAUUUAGAAAAUGACAUUGAGCUGGACAAAAUAAUUUCAGAGUUUGGGUCACCAACUGUCACAAAUACAUUACAUGUCAUUUAGCUGACGCUUUUAUGCAAAGCGACAUACACUAAGUGCAUUCAACCAUAGGGAUACAAACUUAUGAAACAUGAAAGUGCAAACUCAAAUAAGCCAAUUUACAAUUUGCUAUAGAUAAGUGUCAUUAUAAGUACAAUUUAAGUGCUAGAAUUUGUUAGUCUUUUAGUCGAGGUAGAGUCUGAAGAGGUGUGUCUUUAGUUUGUGGCGGAAGGUGUGAAGGCUCUUUGUGGUCCUGGUGUCAUCAGAGAGCUCGUUCCACCAUUUCGGAGCAGGACAACAAAGAGUCGUGAUCUCGUUGAGUGUUUUGCUCUCAGUGAGGGAGGGACGAGUUUUGCAGAUGCAGAGCGGAGAGUGCGGGUCGUGAUGUAGGGUUUGACCAUGUCCUGGAUGUAAGCUGGACCUGAUCCAUUCACAGCAUGGUAUGUGAGUACCAACGUUUAGAACUGGAUGCGGGCAGCCACCAGUAGCCAGUGAAGAGAGCGGAGUAGAGUGGGAGAAUUUCGGAAGGUUAAAGACCAGUCGAGCUGCUGCAUUCUGGAUGAGCUGCAGAGGUCGCAUGGCGGGGAAACCUGCCAGGAGGGAGUUGCAGUAGUCCAGGUGGGAGAUGACAAGAACCUGAAUCAGUACCUGCGCUGCCUUCUGAGUGAGAAGGGGACGUAUUCUCCUGAUGUUGUAGAGCGUGUAUCUACAGGUGUUGUCGCAGUGAUGUUGGGAGUCAGGGAGAGUUGACUGUCGAGUGUCACGCCAAGGUUUCUAGCAGUCAAAGAGAAGUAGUUCAGUCUUGUCGGGGACGAGAGAAGGGAGAGAGCAGAGCCUGAGACACAAAGUUCCUGAAGGGAGGAAAUAAGGAUCUGGUGGUUGACUGUGUCAAAUGCAGCAGAGAGGUCCAGAAGGAUGAGGACAGAGGAGAGAGAGGCGGCUCUAGCAGUGUGGCGUUGCUCUGAGACAGCAAGGAGAGCAGUCUCUGUGGAAUGGUCACUCGUCACUUGUUCGAUAGUGCACUCAAAAA
This is a long non-coding RNA of Gasterosteus aculeatus aculeatus (three-spined stickleback), 1245 nucleotides long. Lineage: Eukaryota; Metazoa; Chordata; Actinopteri; Perciformes; Gasterosteidae. The record is from Ensembl.